This 343-nucleotide long non-coding RNA is filed under the name Callithrix jacchus (white-tufted-ear marmoset). RNAcentral describes it as "lncRNA (ENSCJAG00000056433.2)". The record is from RNAcentral. Lineage: Eukaryota; Metazoa; Chordata; Mammalia; Primates; Cebidae.
UUUUGAAACUACGCCAGACCCACCACACUUAGCCAAAGCGACAGCAGCUGCCGAAAGACAAAGCAAGGAUCCAGAUGGAGUUUCACUCUGGUUGUCCAAGCUAGAGUGAAAUAGCCUGAUCUUGGCUCACUGCUACCUCUGCCUCCCGGGUUCAAGCGAUUCUCCUGCCUCAUCCUUCUGAGAAGCUGUAACUACAGUUUGAGCUCUUCCAAUGGGACAGUCUUGGGGAGGACCAUCCCAUGAGGUAGAAGAAGCAGCUUGCUGGUUUUCUUGAACUACUUCUUCUCUGCAAGGUCAGUGGAUGGGGGAGUAGGCCUCAUCACCUUCCUCUCAACCCUCUGUC